Molecule: ribosomal RNA, 440 nt
Filed under: uncultured bacterium
Lineage: Bacteria
Description: partial 16S ribosomal RNA
Rfam family: Bacterial small subunit ribosomal RNA
Source: RNAcentral
CCUACGGGUGGCAGCAGUGGGGAAUAUUGCACAAUGGGCGGAACCCUGAACCAGCGACGCAGCGUGUGUGAAGAAGUAUUUCCGUGUGGAAAGCUCUAUCAGCAGGGAAGAAAAUGACGUUACCUGAAUAAGUAGCCCCGGCGAACUACGUGCCAGCAGCCGCGGUAAGACGUAGGGGGCCAGCGUUAUCCGGAUUUACUGGGUGUAAAGGGAGCGUAGACGGCAGGACAAGUGUGCAGUGAAAUGGCGGGGCUUAACCCCGGAAUUGCGGCGGAAACUGUGCAGCUUGAGUGCAGGGGAGGCAGGUGGAAUUCGUAGUGUAGCGGUGAAAUGCGUAGAUAUGAGGAGGAACCCCAGUGGCGAAGGCAGCUUACUGGACUGUAACUGACGUUGAGGCUCGAAAGCGUGGGGAGCGAACAGGAUUAGAUACCCGGGUAGUC